This is a non-coding RNA of Meriones unguiculatus (Mongolian gerbil), 375 nucleotides long. NCBI's taxonomy places the organism in Eukaryota, Metazoa, Chordata, Mammalia, Rodentia, Muridae. The record is from the annotation of a RefSeq genome assembly.
CUCCCUCAGAGCAUGGCUGUCCUGGUGCUGCUCCUCUGCCUGGUGACCUUGCCAAGCUGUGCCCUGUCCCAGGUGCAGCUGAAGGAGUCAGGACCCGGCUUGGCGCAGCCCUCACAGCCGAUGUCUCUCACCUGCACUGUCUCUGGGUUCUCCUUAACCAGCAGUGCUGUGCACUGGGUUCGCCAGCCUCCAGGAAAGGGUCUGGAGUGGGUGGCUGCUAUAUGGAGUGAUGGAAGCACAAAGUAUAAUUCAGCCCUUGAAUCCCGACUCAGCAUCAGCAGGGACACCUCCAAGAGCCAAGUUUUCUUAAAAAUGAACAAUCUGCAAACUGAGGACACAGCCAAGUACUACUGUGCCAGACACACAGUGGUGUGA